Molecule: transfer RNA, 72 nt
Filed under: Ictidomys tridecemlineatus (thirteen-lined ground squirrel)
Lineage: Eukaryota; Metazoa; Chordata; Mammalia; Rodentia; Sciuridae
Description: Spermophilus tridecemlineatus (thirteen-lined ground squirrel) tRNA
Rfam family: tRNA
About the family: Transfer RNA (tRNA) molecules are approximately 80 nucleotides in length.
Source: Rfam by way of RNAcentral
UGGGUUGUGGCUCAAUGGUAGAGCGCUUACCUGGCAUGUGUGAAACCCUGGGUUUGAUUCUCAGCACCGCAU